AUUGAACGCUGGCGGCAGGCUUAACACAUGCAAGUCGAGCGAGCGGCGGACGGGUGAGUAAUGUCUGGGAAACCGCCUGAUGGAGGGGGAUAACUACUGGAAACGGUAGCCAAUACCGCAUCCCAUCAGAUGUGCCCAGAUGGGAUUAGCGAGUAGGUGGGGUAAUGGCUCACCUGGGCGACGAUCCCUAGCGGGUCCGAGAGGAUGACCGCCCACACGGGAACUGGGACACGGCCCAGACUCCACCGGGAGGCAGCAGUGGGGAAUAUUGCACAAUGGGCGCAAGCCUGAUGCAGCCAUGCCGCGUGGGGGAGGAAGGCCUUCGGUUUUAAAAGCACUUUCAGCGAGGAGGCGUUACUCGCAGAGGAAGCCCCGGCUAACUCCGUGCCAGCAGCCGCGGUAAUUC
Molecule: ribosomal RNA, 406 nt
Filed under: uncultured bacterium
Lineage: Bacteria
Description: partial 16S ribosomal RNA
Rfam family: Bacterial small subunit ribosomal RNA
Source: RNAcentral